AUGAAAAGACAUAUUAAAUGUUGUGCGAAAGAAGAACAGGAUCGACUUUCAACUGCACAUUUAUUGGAGGUCGGCGAUGACUGUGUUGAUUACUAUGAUCAAACAGAGAGCAAUGACGGAGUCGGUGCCUGGUCGCAAGAUGCAUGUAGUUACAGGAUUGAUAUUUGCACCAAGGGCAAACUGUCCAGAAAAAUUAUUUCAUAUCAGAGAAGAGAGUGUGCAGAGAAUACAUGUGAUGUCAUAUCGCAAUCUCAGCAUUACAACGACCCUGAGCGGUUCAUUGAACAAUACAGAAGUGACAGAUUGCGCCGUUUCCCCUGUCACACACAUAUCCCUACACAUCCGGGGACAUGGGUGGUGCUGAAAAGCUGCGAGGAAGAGCCCUUCGAUUUUACCAUGCCACCAAUCAGAGGUAAAAACAACAGCGCUACUGGAGACUACUUGGAGCAACAAUAUGCACUUAUAUCUGAAAAAAGAGACACGUUUUCCAAACACAAACAGACGGAUGAAUGUAAAAAGUUAUCUUCUGCAUGUGUUCAAGAUGAUGAAAUGCUCUGUUUUACCUGCCACGCUAUGCUAAGGUCAUUUCAAAAUUGUGGAGACAAGGAGCUGUCCUACUAUGAGCCAAAUGGCACAGUCUACUCACCUAUCAACAACAUGGGCAUCAAGCUGCUGACAGUGCAACAAACACAGACCUCGUUGGACGCCUUGCGGAGGAACCAGCGACUCAGGAGCAGCGCUGUCAUCAGGAGGCACCCACGAGCCAAUAAGAGUGCCACCUUAGGGGACAUCUCCCUGUCAACAUUCAAAAACAACGUGGUGUGGUGUAACGGCUAUCGAGAGACCUCUUCCAUGCAGGCCGCCGCUCUCCCUGAUGUUCCCAGUUCUUCAUCCAAGAAAGGAAACAAUAAGGCCAAUCCUUUUACGGUCAAAGGGUUGAGAAGGCUCCCUCCAAGUCAGAAGUAAGUCCUGCAAAAGACAAUGACAGAGUUGAGCUCUUAGAGUGAAGCUCUAAACUGUUCUUUAAAGCACAUCCGUUCAUUUUUUUAAACAGUUUUCCCAACUGGGAUAAUAAAGUGAUUGAUUGAUUGAUGUGUUUAUGUGGGGGAACCUAGAUCUUCGGUUUUAUGAGAACAGAAGUGAUGUGCAGGAUGAAUAUGUCUGUCUGUGUGGGACGUGACAGUGGGACCAGGCCUGGCCGCUCCUUUCCCGAGUCAUCUCCUCCCAGUGGGAGAUCCAUCACCCCAGGCACCCAGCUCUCCUCCACCACCCCCCUACCUCCAUCGCACCCCUGGAAGUCCAGCUCUACAUGCUACCUGACCCCUCCACAGUUGGCACCCACUAAGCCCCUGGUGGUCCAGCAGAGGAAAAAGAG
Molecule: long non-coding RNA, 1375 nt
Filed under: Oncorhynchus mykiss (rainbow trout)
Lineage: Eukaryota; Metazoa; Chordata; Actinopteri; Salmoniformes; Salmonidae
Description: lncRNA (ENSOMYG00000057898.1)
Source: RNAcentral